GCUCGGUUGGUCUAGUGGUAUGAUUCUCGCUUAGGGUCGCACCCUAAUGCAAAGCUUGCGAGAGGUCCCCGGUUCAAACCCGGGAUCGAGCC
This 92-nucleotide transfer RNA is filed under the name Ascodesmis nigricans. Its description in RNAcentral is "tRNA-Pro". Lineage: Eukaryota; Fungi; Ascomycota; Pezizomycetes; Pezizales; Ascodesmidaceae. The record is from RNAcentral.